Non-coding RNA from Pelobates cultripes (western spadefoot toad), 162 nucleotides. NCBI's taxonomy places the organism in Eukaryota, Metazoa, Chordata, Amphibia, Anura, Pelobatidae. The record is from the annotation of a GenBank genome assembly.
CAGCAGACACAUUCCAGCCAAUCAGCAGCAGACCCUCCCUCCCAGACCCUCCCACCUCCUGGACAGCAUCCAUUUUGAAGCUGCAUUCUUAGUGAGCUGUCCAGGAGGUGGAAGGGUCUGGGAGGGAGGGUCUGCUGCUGAUUGGCUGGAAUGUGUCUGCUG